RNAcentral lists this unclassified non-coding RNA (205 nucleotides) under uncultured fungus. RNAcentral's name for it is "sequence contains ITS1, 5.8S rRNA gene". The record is from RNAcentral. Lineage: Eukaryota; Fungi.
UUAACUAUUAUAUAGUACUCAGACUUCAUAUACAAACAGAGUUUAGGUCCUCUGGCAAGCGCUCGCCGGCCGGAGCCAGCAGCCCGAGGGCAGGCUUGCCAAAGCAACAAAGUGUAAUAAACAAAGGGUGGUAGGUUACCCGGGAGGCCUUGCGGCAACCCAGGCGACUACUGUAAUGAUCCUUCCGCAGGUUCACCUACGGAAA